RNAcentral lists this ribosomal RNA (330 nucleotides) under uncultured bacterium. RNAcentral describes it as "bacterial SSU rRNA". It matches the Rfam family "Bacterial small subunit ribosomal RNA", at positions 568 to 898 of the family's 1533-position model. The record is from RNAcentral.
UCCGUAGGCGGUGCGGCAAGUCGGAAGUGAAAUCUCCGGGCUUAACUCGGAGGCUGCUUCCGAAACUGCCGUGCUCGAGUGCGAGAGAGGCAAGUGGAAUUGCGGGUGUAGCGGCGAAAUGCGUAGAUAUCCGCAGGAACAUCCGAGGCGAAAGCGGCUUGCUGGAUCGCAACUGACGCUGAGGGACGAAAGCUAGGGGAGCAAACAGGAUUAGAUACCCUGGUAGUCCUAGCCCUAAACCAUCAGGACUUGGGGUUUGCCCUGUACGGGGCAAGUCCCGGAGCUAACGCGUUAAGUCCUGCGCCUGGGGAGUACGGUCGCAAGGCUGAA